This 2494-nucleotide long non-coding RNA is filed under the name Acanthaster planci (crown-of-thorns starfish). RNAcentral's name for it is "uncharacterized LOC110983793". Lineage: Eukaryota; Metazoa; Echinodermata; Asteroidea; Valvatida; Acanthasteridae. The record is from RNAcentral.
AGGUCAAUAAUAAAGGUUAUGAAUAAACUUAUAGUUACUGGGGCAAAGCCUGAGUGACUGAAAGCGCUAUUAAAACAGUAACUUCCCUCUGAAACACAAUCUUGUCGAAGCAUUGCAAUAGAUAUUCGACACCGUUAUGUUUACGCGCACAAUCUCUGUACGUGUGGCAAAUUAUGUAAUGGUACCGCCCACGUGAUUCUGUGUGUGACCUGCGUUUGACCCCAGGCCACAGUAAUGAGUAGUCAUGAACAUUCUCGUCGUACGUGCGGGAAAACUAACGAUAUUUCUAGUUAUAUAAUGGAUUUUUUGGAAGUUUCUCGUAAGAUUAAGUAAUGCUUAAAAUGUACUUUGAGAAACUUACGUAAUGAUAGAAAUCUCUGGAACAGUUGUAGACUAUAAAAUAGGGAAAUGGCAAGAGAGAUAUGCACACCGCAAGAGAAAUUUUGGAAGGCAAUUCUACCAUAUGUGGGCUGUGAGAAGUCUUUGACUUGUUGACUUCUGCACCAUUUCAACCUGUGGUGGAGAGUCGUCUGUGGAGCGACACUUGUAAGAAGAGUUCGUCCAGAACAAGUGAAGUGCGGGGCUGAAUCUUGAUCCGGAAAAGGCAGUUUGUGAACUGAAUCCAGUUCAAGUUUGUGGGAUCAUCAAGUCCCCGUAUUUGCGACGGUCAUCACGCCCUCGCAGUAUCGUCUCAAACUUGGUCAUUCUUAUUGGACGCGGUCUUCGUUCCCGUUGCAGCUCAUUUUUUGCACCGCCAAGGACUGAACUGCCAUCUGUGGAGUCCAGCGGUCUUCACAGUAGUACCUUGCCAAGUUCUCGCCUAUUCCCCUAUGGAGACCCAAAGCGGAUGAAGAUCUAGCCAUAAAGAAAAAAGCGAACCAGCAGAGACAGGUCUUAAAAGCCAAAUCUCUGUCUCGAGCCUGGACUUCAAUCGCCAACAAAAAAGAGAGAAAGCCCUCCUAUGGAAGACCUGUCUCAGAUCUUAGCCGAUAAGGCGUUUGGCUCUGGCGAGCACGUACUGGCUGAGCAUGCAUAUACAGUUGUCCUCAAAUGAUGACUCCUUGAGGAAGCUCAGGAGCGCACCACCACAAACAGUUGCAGAAAACAAACAGGCAGUUAACAACCAGAUUUGCAUCUGUGAAGGGCAUCGUUCGCAGUCCGAAAAAGGAACAACUUGUUCCAGAUGACAUGGUUCAACUCAGUACCUCGUCAGACGUGCACAACUUCUAAAAGUGUCACAUUAACCCAUCUUCCAACACCAAUGCAACAAGCCAAGAUGACACCAUAAUGCUGAGUUCGGCACUGCCACAAACACCCGAUACUUCGACCACCAUUCCAUCCGCUAUUCGAUCUUCGGGCACACUCACAGAUUUCGAUUGCAAUGUAAUUACACACAUUGCAGGGUAUGUAGUCAGAAAGCUCCUAAAAACGAUCCAAUGCGUCAAGUGCAUUGAUUCCCUUGUGUGACAACCGACCGGUCUUGCUCCUGAAUUAAUUAGAUCUUCAUAUGAUAAAUCUCACGAUAACGGGGGCCUGAUAUACACAUCUCAAGAUGUCUUGGUAGUGUGUACAGCUGCAGAGGGGGGUGUUUCGUCUGUGUAACAGCAAGCAGCCAUCUUCAAUGCCCCACUUCCUCUCCGUAAAAGUACAUCGCACCGUUCAGGAGAUGACUGGAAGUAAUGUGUCCCUCUCCUUGGAGCACGCCUGGGAUGCCCCGACUGGUGAAGGCCAGCAACGGGAUUGAUCUGAUGCGGCAAGUGGCCCACCACUACUUGAAAUCAGAUCAUGCGAUUUAGGUAAGACAACAACUAAAGGGCUACAAGGAAAUAAAGUCAGACGACUAUAUUCCAAACUGGUGCUUGUAAAAGGACAAUAAAUCCCCACCACACCAUUGCACUCUGCAAUGUUCCAGCAAAACUGGAGCAGCAAAGCCUCCAUUGACUCAGGUAGUCUUUGUUCCAUUCGUACAACAUCCAAACCUAUACAGUCUAAGUGAUCCUCAGCAUUAUGAAAACGAGCUCGUGUUGGCCUGGCCAAUGUGAAAUCGCGAGACGGAAUUCAAAUAGCAUAUUGAGUAUAGCAAUGAUCCGAAAGCUUCGUUUUCAACUGUGGUGCACUUCUGGCCAUGUAAUAGGCCGAUAUACUUAAAAUUCUGGGGUGAAUUGUCGUGACACUGCUCAGUAAAAUUCCCAUAAUACAAGUUCACAUUUUAUGCCUGGCAGAAAAAUUCAACAUUCAAUAAACACACCGAAUGUUAUGUAGCCCUUGAGCAAACGUUCCUUGUAUAGAAUGAGAUCUUAUGGUUAAUAUAGAGGUUUAAGAAGAACUUUAAAUUUGACCUUCCGUUUCACAGAUUAGUUCUUUGUACAUUUCUUUGUGUGAAAACAAAGGACAGGUAAUAUUUAUUUCAACUAGGCACUAUUUUGUAUUUUGCGAUUUAUAUCGUCGUUACAUACAUGUACACGGAUAGCAUUUUAAAUAUUAAAUGGCAGUA